UGACCUAUUGUUGCUUACCAACCUUGAGCUAACAUCAUAAUUGAUUUACAAUAUUUAACAUCAUAACUGAUUUACAAUAUUUAAAUCAAUUAUGAUGUUAGCUCAAGGUUGGCAAGCAAAAAUAGGUCAA
This 130-nucleotide small RNA is filed under the name Mytilus galloprovincialis (Mediterranean mussel). Lineage: Eukaryota; Metazoa; Mollusca; Bivalvia; Mytilida; Mytilidae. The record is from RNAcentral.